RNAcentral lists this ribosomal RNA (253 nucleotides) under uncultured bacterium. RNAcentral's name for it is "partial 16S ribosomal RNA". It matches the Rfam family "Bacterial small subunit ribosomal RNA", at positions 524 to 776 of the family's 1533-position model. The record is from RNAcentral.
UACGGAGGAUGCAGGCGUUAUCCGGAAUCAUUGGGUUUAAAGGGUCCGCAGGCGGGUUGUUAAGUCAGGGGUGAAAUCUUACAGCUCAACUGUAAAAUUGCCUUUGAUACUGGCAAUCUUAAAUCACUAUGAAGUGGUUAGAAUGUGUAGUGUAGCGGUGAAAUGCUUAGAUAUUACACAGAAUACCGAUUGCGAAGGCAGAUCACUAACAAUGUAUUGACGCUCAGGGACGAAAGCGUGGGGAGCAAACAGG